AACCCAUGAACCACGAGCUCAUGACAUGAGCCAAAGUCAGACACUCAACCAACUGAGCCACCCAGGCACCCCUUGAUGUGCUUUUUACUUCAACUAAGAAUAAAUAUGGUGAUGUCUGUUGUCUAAUUGAUUUGUUAACUCUUGAAAUUCAUCUUUCUCUUCCCUGUUCAGAGCCUAAGUGACAAUGUGGAGGGAGUUACCAUCUCAAGAUAAGACAUCAGGAGGAGGAACACAUCACCAGAAAGAAUGAAACAAGUUAUGAUAUGAGCCUGAGGUUUGGACGACCUAUGUAUGUACCUUAAUAACUGGAGGAGAGAAAUUUUACAGAGAAUAACUGAGAAGAUCAAUACUUUUAAGAAAGAAAACAGAGAACUUUACUUCCUGAAGAACUAUCCAUUUGGGAACAGAAGUACCAAUUCAAGACAAGCUUCACAAAUGUAAAGAGCUACCUCUUUAUUUGUGAAAGGAGUCACACAUUAGAAGAAAAUAAAAAGGCCCUGGAAGACAAGUGUAAUGCAUUGAGGACUGUGAAAGCAACAAAGGAAGCAAAAGUCAAACAGCUGAAGGAGAAAGCAUAUCACCUAGAAGAAUUCUAUGAACAAAGAAAAGUGGCUACAGAAGAGUAAGAUAUUCAUGUGAGAACUGUCACAAGUACUGCAUUGUAAGAAAGAAUGUGGCAGCCAAUAGAGAUAAUUAUAUUUCUUUUGGAACUGGAUCCAGAGUAUUUUGCCAAAUGCAUUCAGUGGAAUUGUGCCUGCCCUUCCUACCUUGCUUUCUGUAACCUGCAUUUUCCUUUCUGCCCUAAGUGCUUGUCACACAUUGUGUCAUGAAUUUGGGGCCAAAGAGGGAAUGUACCAGCAGUAACGCUGAUACCUGGGUCCACUGUAGAUACACCUACAUUGUCCUAUAGGUUUCAAGCCCAUCACACUGUUUUGUCAUCCAGCA
This is a long non-coding RNA of Felis catus (domestic cat), 945 nucleotides long. RefSeq lists it as uncharacterized. Lineage: Eukaryota; Metazoa; Chordata; Mammalia; Carnivora; Felidae. The transcript has 5 exons. The record is from RefSeq and is a predicted model, not a curated record.